CCUACGGGAGGCAGCAGUGAGGAAUAUUGCUCAAUGGGCGAGACUCUGAUGCAGCAACGCCGCGUGAAUGAUGACUGCCUUCUGGGUUUUAAACUUUUUUUUUAGGGAAGUUAAUGGCGGUACCUGUGCCUUUUUCCACGUCUAACUUCGUUCCAGCAGCCGCAGUAAUGCGUAGGUAGCCGGCGUUAUCCGGAUUGACUGGGCGUAAAGGGAGCGUAGUCGGUUUUUUAAGUGAGUUGUGAAAUUCUUGGGUUCAACCUGAGUACUGCAUUUGACACUGGAAGUCUAGAGUGCAGGAGAGGUAAGCGGAAUGCGUGGUGUAGCGGUGAAAUGCGUAGAGAUUAGGAAGAACCCCAGUGGCGAAGGCGGUUCACUGGACUGUGACUGACGUUGAGGCUCGAAAGUGUGGGGAGCAAACAGGAUUAGAUACCCUUGUAGUC
RNAcentral lists this ribosomal RNA (440 nucleotides) under uncultured bacterium. Its description in RNAcentral is "partial 16S ribosomal RNA". It matches the Rfam family "Bacterial small subunit ribosomal RNA", at positions 338 to 795 of the family's 1533-position model. The record is from RNAcentral.